UGUCACCAGUGGCUUCUUUAUUGACAUGC
This 29-nucleotide non-coding RNA is filed under the name Rattus norvegicus (Norway rat). The record is from RNAcentral. Lineage: Eukaryota; Metazoa; Chordata; Mammalia; Rodentia; Muridae.